GUGGGGCCAGCACAGGGUCGGUGAUGUAGGUCUUCUUCGUGCCGGUUGGCUGGUAGAGCCCAGGAGGACCCUGACCCACGGUGUUACUAGCAGGAUACGCUGGCUCAGCCUUCCAGGAGCUCUGUGGCAUGGUCAUUUAUCCCAUUCUAAUAUUGAAACCUAAAAUAGGGAAGAUGAAUCAUCCACUGGAGGAAUCUACUUCACUCCACUGACUGUAAAAGAAGCAUAAAAACAGCCAAGAGAAGUCAUUGAAUAUUUAGACAGCACAAGUUAGUGGAGACAAAUUCCACAAUAAGCAGCUUACAGCUGACAAAUGUACGUCACAGAGGCAUGGGCUACGCAUGGAUCAGCAGUCAUACUCAUACUUCCCAGACGUGUUUAUAUGGCAUUCAGCUUGCUGGCUUGAUCACCAGAAGCUAUCAAGGUAUUCAAAUGGAUUGCUCCUAAGCAUUAUACCAAAAGAAGAGAAGAAAUCUAAUAAAGUGUUCAUCUCUGGCUCUCA
Molecule: long non-coding RNA, 502 nt
Organism: Pezoporus flaviventris
Lineage: Eukaryota; Metazoa; Chordata; Aves; Psittaciformes; Psittacidae
Exons: 3
Source: RefSeq, a predicted model, not a curated record